Long non-coding RNA from Triticum aestivum (bread wheat), 412 nucleotides. RefSeq lists it as uncharacterized. The transcript is spliced from 3 exons. NCBI's taxonomy places the organism in Eukaryota, Viridiplantae, Streptophyta, Magnoliopsida, Poales, Poaceae. The record is from RefSeq and is a predicted model, not a curated record.
CUAUGCAGACAGAGCGAAUGACAGACAUGGAAAACAAACAAACAAAGCAUUAUCACUGCGCACAUACAUGUUCCCAGGGGAUGCAGUAUGCUCAAAGACAAGUAGCAUGACCUGAGGGUUGAAGAUAUGACUAUGGAGAGGGCAGCGGCAAAGGAUGAUCAUGUGUUGGUAGUGAGGUUAUUCAAUGGAGAAAGAAGCUGGAUUUACGGAUGCGUUUUUGGAGACGAGUGAGUGGUAUGGUAGCGAUAGUGUUGAUCGUACAAAUGAAGAUGGAAGUAAAAAUGAUGAUGAUAGCAGCGACAAUGAAUCCUGGUCGUCGUACGAUAAUUUACCCGAAGAGGACUUUCAAAAGAAGGAGGAUGGUGCUUGUAUGUGCAGGAGGAUAUUGACAUCCAGAACGAGGAGAAUUAUG